GAGGAGCCUGCGGCGGAUUAGCUAGUUGGUAGGGUAACGGCUUACCAAGGCGACGAUCCGUAACCGGCCUGAGAGGGCGGUCGGUCACACUGACACUGACAUACGGGUCAGACUCCUACGGGAGGCAGCAGUCGGGAAUUUUGGGCAAUGGGCGAAAGCCUGACCCAGCAACGCCGCGUGAAGGAUGAAAUCCCUCGGGAUGUAAACUUCGCAAGAAUGGGAAGAAUGAGCGAGCGCUAAUACCGUUCGUGAUGACGGUACCAUUUGUAAGCUCCGGCUAACUCCGUGCCAGCAGCCGCGGUAAUACGGGGGGAGCAAGCGUUGUUCGGAUUUACUGGGCGUAAAGGGCGCGUAGGCGGCCAGCGCAAGUCAGUUGUGAAAUCUCCGGGCUUAACUCGGAAAGGUCAACUGAUACUGCGCGGCUAGAGUGCGGAAGGGGCAACUGGAAUUCUCGGUGUAGCGGUGAAAUGCGUAGAUAUCGAGAGG
This 486-nucleotide ribosomal RNA is filed under the name uncultured Acidobacteriota bacterium. RNAcentral's name for it is "bacterial SSU rRNA". It matches the Rfam family "Bacterial small subunit ribosomal RNA", at positions 224 to 704 of the family's 1533-position model. Lineage: Bacteria; Pseudomonadati; Acidobacteriota. The record is from RNAcentral.